RNAcentral lists this ribosomal RNA (393 nucleotides) under uncultured bacterium. RNAcentral's name for it is "partial 16S ribosomal RNA". It matches the Rfam family "Bacterial small subunit ribosomal RNA", at positions 523 to 918 of the family's 1533-position model. The record is from RNAcentral.
AUACGGAAGGUCCGGGCGUUAUCCGGAUUUAUUGGGUUUAAAGGGAGCGCAGGCGGCACUUCAAGCGUGACGUUAAAUUUCGGGGCUCACCCCCGUUAUGCGUCGCGAACUGUUGUGCUUGAGUAGGCGGCAGGGAGGCGGAAUUCGCGGUGUAGCGGUGAAAUGCUUAGAUAUCGCGAGGAACUCCGAUAGCGCAGGCAGCCUCCCGGUGCUUUACUGACGCUCAUGCUCGAAGGUGCGGGUAUCGAACAGGAUUAGAUACCCUGGUAGUCCGCACUGUAAACGAUGGAUGCCCGCUGUUGGGCCUUUUGGGUUCAGUGGCCAAGAGAAAUCGUUAAGCAUCCCACCUGGGGAGUACGCCGGCAACGGUGAAACUCAAAUGAAUUGACGGGG